UGACAUGGAUGGGGAGACUGAGACCAAGAUUGGCUACAUAACUUUUGGGGGUUGUGCAAAAUGAAAACUGGAGGCAUCUAUUUCAAAAACUAUGAAGAAUUUCAAGAUGGUAACAGUAGAGCAUUAUACCAAGCAUGGGGCCCGUCUAGGCAUGGGGCCUUGUGCUCAGGUGGCACACCUGUGAGUGGUACAUCAGAGAUAGGCCCUUGAUCCAAGAGAAUCUAGCAAAACUCAAUACCUGAACUUUCACUGAAAAUAUUGAGAUUGCUAGCUGUAAGAAUGACGGAAGCCUGGAGCUUCCUGGAGUCCCUUCAGGGAGUAAGGAAGGCUUGCCUCAGAAUGAAGCCAGCAGAAGGAAGCAGAGAAAAAAAAAAAAAAGCCCUAGGAUAGAUAUUGUUGGAAUCCUGGAU
Molecule: long non-coding RNA, 410 nt
Filed under: Homo sapiens (human)
Lineage: Eukaryota; Metazoa; Chordata; Mammalia; Primates; Hominidae
Description: HSALNT0152943
Source: RNAcentral